AAGUCGUAACAAGGUUUCCGUAGGUGAACCUGCGGAAGGAUCAUUACCGAGUUAGGGUCCUCCGGGGCCCGAACCUCCCACCCCCUGUUGUCGAACAAAUUAUCGUUGCUUUGGCGGGACCGUCCCCCGGUCUCACGACCCGGGGCUGCCGGGUCCCGGACCGGGUAAGCGCCCGCCAGAGACCAACUAAACUCUUCGUUAAACAUUCGUCCGAGUAAAAUGAUUAAACCAAUCAAAA
This 238-nucleotide unclassified non-coding RNA is filed under the name plant metagenome. Its description in RNAcentral is "partial contains small subunit ribosomal RNA and internal transcribed spacer 1". The stretch from base 1 to 46 matches the Rfam family "Eukaryotic small subunit ribosomal RNA", at positions 1786 to 1831 of the family's 1831-position model. The record is from RNAcentral.